GAAGUUGUGUUUCAGUAUCUAGAACGUCGGUGCUACUCUGUCAUAAGGUACAAGAUUCUGGAACAACUCUUUUCCCUUCCCAGAUGAGAAAUUUUGGACAAUUUUGGUUAUGUCAUAUGUGUUGUUUGCUCUGAUGAUUUGUUCUUUGGUGACAACUUAUCUUUGUUUGGAGAGAUUUUCUCUAGUCUUCUUUUGCUUGUUUAUA
RNAcentral lists this long non-coding RNA (205 nucleotides) under Trifolium pratense (red clover). RNAcentral describes it as "long non-coding RNA (TPRA_LNC005383)". Lineage: Eukaryota; Viridiplantae; Streptophyta; Magnoliopsida; Fabales; Fabaceae. The record is from RNAcentral.